Molecule: ribosomal RNA, 932 nt
Filed under: Cortinarius sp. PDD 113368
Lineage: Eukaryota; Fungi; Basidiomycota; Agaricomycetes; Agaricales; Cortinariaceae
Description: partial large subunit ribosomal RNA
Rfam family: Eukaryotic large subunit ribosomal RNA
Source: RNAcentral
CAUAUCAAUAAGCGGAGGAAAAGAAACUAACAAGGAUUCCCCUAGUAACUGCGAGUGAAGCGGGAAAAGCUCAAAUUUAAAAUCUGGCAGUCUCUGGCUGUCCGAGUUGUAAUCUAGAGAAGUGUUAUCCGCGCUGGACCGUGUACAAGUCUCCUGGAAUGGAGCAUCAUAGAGGGUGAGAAUCCCGUCUUUGACACGGACUGCCAGGGCUUUGUGAUGCGCUCUCAAAGAGUCGAGUUGUUUGGGAAUGCAGCUCAAAAUGGGUGGUAAAUUCCAUCUAAAGCUAAAUAUUGGCGAGAGACCGAUAGCGAACAAGUACCGUGAGGGAAAGGUGAAAAGAACUUUGGAAAGAGAGUUAAACAGUACGUGAAAUUGCUGAAAGGGAAACGCUUGAAGUCAGUCGCGUUGACCAGGGAUCAACCUUGCUUUUGCUUGGUGUACUUUCUGGUUGACGGGUCAGCAUCAAUUUUGACUAUUGGAAAAAGGUCAAGGGAAUGUGGCAUCUUCGGAUGUGUUAUAGCCCUUGGUUGUAUACAAUGGUUGGGAUUGAGGAACUCAGCACGCCGCAAGGCCGGGUUUUUAACCACGUACGUGCUUAGGAUGCUGGCAUAAUGGCUUUAAUCGACCCGUCUUGAAACACGGACCAAGGAGUCUAACAUGCCUGCGAGUGUUUGGGUGGAAAACCCGAGCGCGUAAUGAAAGUGAAAGUUGAGAUCCUUGUCGUGGGGAGCAUCGACGCCCGGACCAGACCUUUUGUGACGGUUCCGCGGUAGAGCAUGUAUGUUGGGACCCGAAAGAUGGUGAACUAUGCCUGAAUAGGGUGAAGCCAGAGGAAACUCUGGUGGAGGCUCGUAGCGAUUCUGACGUGCAAAUCGAUCGUCAAAUUUGGGUAUAGGGGCGAAAGACUAAUCGAACCAUCUAGUAGCUGGUCU